Non-coding RNA from Conoideocrella luteorostrata, 91 nucleotides. NCBI's taxonomy places the organism in Eukaryota, Fungi, Ascomycota, Sordariomycetes, Hypocreales, Clavicipitaceae. The record is from the annotation of a GenBank genome assembly.
GCCCCCGUGGCCUAAUGGUUAAGGCGUGUGACUUCUACCUUCUUAGAGAAGUGUAAUCCCAAGAUUCAGAGUUCGAAUCUCUGCGGGGGCU